Molecule: long non-coding RNA, 645 nt
Organism: Peromyscus eremicus (cactus mouse)
Lineage: Eukaryota; Metazoa; Chordata; Mammalia; Rodentia; Cricetidae
Exons: 3
Source: RefSeq, a predicted model, not a curated record
AUGUUUCUUCUUUUGAUGUGUUCUUGUCUUCACCUCAGGGACCUGGACGCCCUGCCUGUUGAGGCAAGGUUGUGGAUGUCCUGGGCCUUAUGGUCCCUGCUUCGCAUGAUGUGGGGCAGCAUCCAUCUGAACGCUCAUCACUACCAAGGCCAAGGUUUUGGAAAGAAGUCCUUCUUCUCCCAUCUUACUAUUAGACCAUCGGAUUUGGGACACGGGACUAAGGCCGCUGACUCUGCAUCCCUUACAAGCAUACACAGCUGCCUGCCCUUUUGCCUUCUGUCCAUCCUGGAGCGGCCUUCUGCAAGAUUCUAUGUUACCUGUCCUCGGUCCACUUGGAAUCUGUUGAGAGAGCCGAGUCCUGUGUGUUCCUAGGCCCUGCCACAGGGACCUGGACGCCCUGCCUGUUGAGGCAAGGUUGUGGAUGUCCCGGGCCUUAUGGUCCCUGCUUCGCAUGAUGUGGGGCAGCAUCCAUCUGAACGCUCAUCACUACCAAUGCCAAAGUUUUGGAAGGAAGUCCUUCUUCUCCCAUCUUAGUAUUAGACCAUCGGAUUUGGGACACGGGACUAAGGCCGCUGACUCUGCAUCCCUUACAAGCAUACAAAGCUGCCUGCCCUUUUGCCUUGUGUCCAUCCUGGAGCGGCCUUC